This 456-nucleotide ribosomal RNA is filed under the name uncultured bacterium. RNAcentral's name for it is "bacterial SSU rRNA". It matches the Rfam family "Bacterial small subunit ribosomal RNA", at positions 28 to 523 of the family's 1533-position model. The record is from RNAcentral.
GAUGAACGCUGGCGGUCUGCUUAACACAUGCAAGUCGAACGAACUCUUCGGAGUGAGUGGCGGACGGGUGAGUAACGCGUGAGAAUCUGCCUGUGGGUCGGGGACAACCACUGGAAACGGUGGCUAAUACCGGAUGAGCCGAAAGGUAAAAGAUUUAUUGCCCACAGAUGAGCUCGCGUCUGAUUAGCUAGUUGGUAAGGUAAAAGCGUACCAAGGCGACGAUCAGUAGCUGGUCUGAGAGGAUGAGCAGCCACACUGGGACUGAGACACGGCCCAGACUCCUACGGGAGGCAGCAGUGGGAAUUUUUCCGCAAUGGGCGAAAAGCCUGACGGAGCAAACACCGCGGGGGAGGAAGGUUUUUUGGAUCGUAAAACCCCUUUGUCAAGGGAAGAAAGCUCUGACGGUACUUGACGAAAUAAAGCCUCGGCUAAACUCCGUGCCAGCCGCCGCGGUAA